Molecule: ribosomal RNA, 305 nt
Filed under: uncultured bacterium
Lineage: Bacteria
Description: partial 16S ribosomal RNA
Rfam family: Bacterial small subunit ribosomal RNA
Source: RNAcentral
ACAGCAGUAGCCGCGGGAAUACGUAGGGUGCGAGCGUUAAUCGGAAUUACUGGGCGUAAAGCGUACGCAGGCGGUUUGUUAAGUCAGAUGUGAAAUCCCCGAGCUUAACUCGGGAACUGCAUUUGAAACUGGCAGGCUAGAGUCUCGUAGAGGGGGGUAGAAUUCCAGGUGUAGCGGUGAAAUGCGUAGAGAUCUGGAGGAAUACCGGUGGCGAAGGCGGCCCCCUGGACGAAGACUGACGCUCAGGUACGAAAGCGUGGGGAGCAAACAGGAUUAGAUACCCGCGUAGUCCCUGUCUCUUAUAC